CUGAUUAUAGAUGGCUAAUAUUGCCCUUUCCCGUGUUAAAAAAUAAAACUACAUGGACCAACAAACAGCUUGGGGAGAUAUGUAUUCUCGUCUGUUUUGAGUUCUGUUUAUUCUAGCUAUUCCCAAGACCAUUAAUAUCCACUUGAACCUGUAAACUUGAAGGUCAACAAAAGGUGAAACAUAAGGAAGCAAUAUAAUAUGGAAUAUUCAACUAGAUUAUAUAUUGUGAAAUGUUAAGGCAGUUUCCUUAAACUAGACUUUUUAAUUUUUUUUCCUUAGUAGUAGAAAAGAUAGGAAGAUAAACUCCAUAUUAAGCCAGAGUUCAAUUUGGAGGAUUUACAGAAUGACUAGAAAUUCCUUUUAGUUAGCAAUUUUAAAAUUAACUAACUCUGCCUUUCUAGAAAAUGCUAUGCAAUCAGAAUGAAAUGAGUAGAAAAAUAGUUAUCAAACAGUCCAGAGAUUGAAAAAAAAUACACGCCCAAAACAGUAAUAUUGUAUAAAUAUCUUACCACUGUCACAAGCAACACCAACCCUCUAACCUAGGUCUGCACUGAUUGUUGUUAAGCUACAGCAGGGACAGGUUGUGUUAAAUGUAGAAGCUUGUGACCAGCAGCACUGAGAAUGCACAAAAGCCUUACAAAUACACCACCUCUCAAGAUCAAGAGGGAUCUGUUCGUGGACUAAACAUCAUGGAAAAUCUCUGCCAUUCCUGGACUACCUUUCCUCUCAUAGCUAUCCUUCUGCAAAUGACACAUGCCAACACUAAUAAAACUAUACAUGCAGAUAAACCAGAUCAUCUUUCUGAUGUUUGUGACAUCAGAAGAAAAUACACAUAUAAAUUGUCAUGCCUUACAUGUGCUGUGGCAUCCAAAUGCAGUACAACAAAUCUGCAAAAUAAACUGACUAAAUAGAAGAAGCUGAUACUGCAUGGAAAAAUUGCUUGGAUCAGGACUCUUCAUCUUCCCAAACUACCCUGUGAAAAGGAGAACCAGUGCUUAAUUCCAUAAAGCCCUGUUGCCUGCAAAUUACAAAAUUCCUGGAUUUAGGUUACUGACCAGUACUCCAAAGCUCCCUUCGGAAAAUUCUGAUUUAAAUAUAACAUUGUCACACACACACACUGGAAGUCAUGGAAGCAAGCUGACUUAGCCUUCCAACUUCAUGUGGCAGCUGAUACUGUUACAAGAUAAUUUCUGCAUCAGCUAUCAGAUAUUUUGGUAAAAAGAAAAUUCCUCUAAACAAGUAAGGCUGCUCCAGUGAACUGUUGGAAGAAGCAACAGUACCAGCAUGAAAUGGCUGGUGAAGGAGUAGGUUCAACCUAAAUAAAUUUCUGAAGCCAGCUCUACACACAUUCUACAAAACCAACUGCCACUGGUGUUUCACACCACUACAUGACUACGGUGCAAAUUGCAAUGUUUUUUGUCUUCAUGCCUGUUCUGGAAGAUGUUACCCUGAGGGAAGUCUUGAGGACACAAAGGCAUGUUUGAGAAGGUAAAGAGUGUAGGAAAAGGAACCCAAGCAAAGCUGUCGCUGCUCGCCAGGCUGAAGCAUGAGUGGAAGGGAAGCAUUAGUCACGCCAACAGCCUGAAACAGAAGCCAUGCCUGGCAAUUGUAUCAACAAGAAACAGAUCAUCAUCCUCGCCUGAAGUCCUUUUAUGACAGUUACUUAUCAACUUCAGAACCUCGGAAGUCUAUAAUCUUGCAUGAUUAUUACCCUGCAACCAAAUGCCUCUGAAUGUCUUAAAAUAUAUGAAUUUCAGUGCGUCUCUUUCAAAAGUUGGAUUACCUCAGAAACUUUACUGAAAGUCUAUCAAGAAAGGAGGGAUUUUAUUAAUCUUUUUUUAAGGCUCAUUAUUUUUGAUCUACAGCAAGUGUGCUUAAAAAACACAAGGUUGGAUCAUUUCAACCCUAUUUGCUGACAGCCAAAGCAGAGGGAGCUAGCAUUUUACUUUGAGGGUAAUGGAGAACAAACAAGACACAUCUCAGGAAAGUAGGGCUGGUUUUGACAGAUGCCAACUGACCUUUAGGUCUUAGUAAUCCUUAAAGUAUUAAAUCCCACUAAGCUUCAUCUUGUAUACAGACAUGAUUUUGAACAUGUUCUGUGCAAAGGAAAAAGCAGAUUAACGAUCCACUAGACAAAGUGUCCUAGCUCUAAGAUGUCGUCAGAACACCUCAAAACAGUUUAACUCUACCCUGCCUCUAACCUCUAGCUAUUCCUUUAAAAAAUUAUGUUAUUUAAAAAUACAUAAUACAUAUUGUUAGAAUUUUUAUCUAUUAACCAGCUGGUAAGGUUCUCUCCCUUCUGCAAUAGCUUCACAGCACUCAUCUCUGCAGAAUAGCCUUUAUUACAGGCAACACAACAUUUAGCUACUCUAAAACUUUUCCAUUAUUAAGUAGUACUAAAGGGGAUCUUAAACAAUUAUGGUGACACUGAGGCACUGUGGACAACAGUGCAUCAUACUUGAAAUUGGAAAAACAAGUUUCAGUUCCAACCAAAUAUAUGGUACUGUUGUCACUUCUUGACAGGUAUUCAGGGUUCUCUGUAUUGACUCAAUGUGGGACCAGGUCUAGGAGUGCUCCUUCCUAUUCUUCUCUUGCACCCCCAUCCCUACAGUCAUAAUGUUGGUGGAGGGUUAAAAAAUAUAAUUUCUGGAUUGAGUAAUGUGUAGGGGGAGGAAAGUAGAGAACGUACAACUGGAACUUGACGCAGCUAGCUGGGAACAAGCGUCAGCUUCGGCAAACAGCUCCAUAAUGACCGAAUCAAGUGUGACUGCAACUCAGGGGAUAAUUGAAAAGCAUUGUUUUAACCAAAUCAAGUGUAGAUCAGGGUAGAAGCGUAGGUAUGAUUUAAGAUAGUAACUAAAGAAUAGGAUAAUCAGUAUCUAGGGGUGGGGGUUAGUUAACAUGUGUAUAAUUUAAACUAUAAAAAUCACGAAUCGACUCUGUAUCCUUUGGACAUCAGAUUUGGGUGUAUUAUCACCCCUGUGUCCUGCGCGCUUGAAUAAAGAACCGCAUAUGAUUGCCUUUGUGUGGUUAUAUGUUUUCCAACGCUAACAUUUUUGGCGACCCAGAUGAGACCUUGUGGGCGCAGCCAGGACCCCGCGACCCGAUCACGCUCCAGCCGGCACCGGGUGAUUUCUCGGGGAGCCCAUCGGAGCCGCGACCCUCGCCGCUCACAACGACCCCUGGUGAGAGCUCGGCUCCGAAGUGUUCUCGUGUAGAACAGACCACUGGCCCUGGAGAAUCCAGUCCACAAUAUCGAACCAGGAGAUGAGGUAUACAUCAAAACCUGGAACGAAGAACCACUAAAAGAGAAGUGGACUGGUCCCCAUCAGUAAUUUGGUUAGUUUACAGAAUCCUGAAGAGAGAGAUACAGAAAAAGGCAUCUUAGAACAGGACCAUAAUGAAGGCAUUGGCACGGAACCCAGCACCUUCAAUCCGCAACAACAUCCCGGACAAAGCCUAUGACAACAGAGGAUUUGAGGAUGAACAUCCAGUAUGAACUCUGAAGCCUAAUAGACUGUAUUAAGUGAAAGCAUUUACACUUAGUAUAUUAGAGUGAAAAUACUUUCAAAGGGGAGAAUGUUGGUGGAGGGUUAAAAAAUAUAAUUUCUGGAUUGAGUAAUGUGUAGGGGGAGGAAAGUAGAGAACGUACAACUGGAACUUGACGCAGCUAGCUGGGAACAAGCGUCAGCUUCGGCAAACAGCUCCAUAAUGACCGAAUCAAGUGUGACUGCAACUCAGGGGAUAAUUGAAAAGCAUUGUUUUAACCAAAUCAAGUGUAGAUCAGGGUAGAAGCGUAGGUAUGAUUUAAGAUAGUAACUAAAGAAUAGGAUAAUCAGUAUCUAGGGGUGGGGGUUAGUUAACAUGUGUAUAAUUUAAACUAUAAAAAUCACGAAUCGACUCUGUAUCCUUUGGACAUCAGAUUUGGGUGUAUUAUCACCCCUGUGUCCUGCGCGCUUGAAUAAAGAACCGCAUAUGAUCGCCUUUGUGUGGUUAUAUGUUUUCCAACGCUAACAAUAAUACAGUCCUUGGAAGUCUUCAGAGAUUUCUCA
This is a long non-coding RNA of Prinia subflava (tawny-flanked prinia), 4052 nucleotides long. RefSeq lists it as uncharacterized. The transcript is spliced from 3 exons. Lineage: Eukaryota; Metazoa; Chordata; Aves; Passeriformes; Cisticolidae. The record is from RefSeq and is a predicted model, not a curated record.